UCUAGUGAUGAUGGCAAAGAGGUCACACCCGUUCCCAUACCGAACACGGAAGUUAAGCUCUUUAGCGCCGAUGGUAGUUGGGGGCUUCCCCC
Molecule: ribosomal RNA, 92 nt
Filed under: Lysinibacillus fusiformis
Lineage: Bacteria; Bacillati; Bacillota; Bacilli; Caryophanales; Bacillaceae
Also listed under: 1 other name
Source: RNAcentral